CGGCGGACGGGUGAGUAACGCGUGGGUAACCUACCCUGUACACACGGAUAACAUACCGAAAGGUAUGCUAAUACGGGAUAAUAUAUUUGAGAGGCAUCUCUUGAAUAUCAAAGGUGAGCCAGUACAGGACGGACCCGCGUCUGAUUAGCUAGUUGGUAAGGUAACGGCUUACCAAGGCGACGAUCAGUAGCCGACCUGAGAGGGUGAUCGGCCACAUUGGAACUGAGACACGGUCCAA
This 238-nucleotide ribosomal RNA is filed under the name uncultured bacterium. Its description in RNAcentral is "partial 16S ribosomal RNA". It matches the Rfam family "Bacterial small subunit ribosomal RNA", at positions 96 to 334 of the family's 1533-position model. The record is from RNAcentral.